RNAcentral lists this ribosomal RNA (537 nucleotides) under Triticum aestivum (bread wheat). Its description in RNAcentral is "partial small subunit ribosomal RNA". The record is from RNAcentral. Lineage: Eukaryota; Viridiplantae; Streptophyta; Magnoliopsida; Poales; Poaceae.
AUGGCUUCUAAGUCGACGAUUCGCCGGUUCGUGAACCUGAUCGUGGACGACGGCAUCCCCGGAGCCAGAUCGCUGCGCCGCAUCGACCUCACGCGCCACAAGCUGUUCAACACCACGGUGCCCGUGCUGCCCCUGGACGGAGACGCCGCGCCCGCAACUGCCGACGACCGCAAGACCAAGAAUAUGCGGACGAUCAAGCUUCCCGCCGCAGACUUCAACUUCCAGGGCUCGGGUUCGAGCCUCUACUGGUGCAUCCAAUGCUUCCCGCUCGCCGGCCGCAAGGUGCUCUGCGUCGACCAGUGCCGCCGCACCUCGCUCUUCGACGCCGACACGAAGCAGGUGGACGACAUCCCCUACCUUGACACGCCCAAGCGCAUGCCCGUCUCCAUCUUCGUCCCUGGCGCCGACGACCGUGUGACGAGAGCAUCUACAUGUUGGAGGGUCGUCCCGGUAGGGAAGAGACAGUCACAGGAGGUGACGGAAACAGCUCAGCCAUCAGUACGAGAUCUUUGUGUACCGCAGGCAGACCCACCUUGA